This is a long non-coding RNA of Felis catus (domestic cat), 2683 nucleotides long. RefSeq lists it as uncharacterized. NCBI's taxonomy places the organism in Eukaryota, Metazoa, Chordata, Mammalia, Carnivora, Felidae. The record is from RefSeq and is a predicted model, not a curated record. The transcript is spliced from 2 exons.
GGAAAGGUAGGGGGGAGUGGGGCGGUUGUAAGGGGAUGGUAGUUGUAGUGAGCUCUUCAAGAGGGAAUGAAGGCAAAGCCCUGAGCCUGCAGAAGGAAAAGCAAAGUGACUGGGAGGCUGGAAUUCUGCCCAAGGACUAAGCUCCCUAACUACCAGUUCCCCUCUUUUCUUCAGGCAGCCUCGGUCCUGCCUUAACCUUAAAAGUAAAACUCACUUAUCUUAGGGCGCCUGGGUGGCGCAGUCGGUUAAGCGUUUGACUUCAGCCAGGUCACGAUCUCGCGGUCCAUGAGUUCGAGCCCCGCAUCGGGCUCUGGACUGAUGGCUCAGAGCCUGGAGCCUGUUUCCCAUUCUGUGUCUCCCUCUCUCUCUGCCCCUCCCCCGUUCAUGCUCUGUCUCUCUCUGUCCCAAAAAUAAAUAAACGUUUAAAAAAAAAACUCUCACUUAUCUUACCAGCAAAAUGGGAAUAUUUGGAAACAGCCGAGAGUUGCAAUUUUGAGACACAGCAGACAGCAAAACCAUAGACAGGUGUGGAGAACAAAGAAGAAAAAACACUUAAAAAAGUUUAUUUUUGAGAGAGUGUGAGUGCUGCAGGGGCAGAGAGAGAGGACAGGGCAGAGGAUCCGAAGUGGGUUCUGCGCGAACAGAAGGGAGCCCAAUGUGGGGCUCCAACUCACAAACCUUGAGACUGUGGCCUGAGCCACCCAGGGAUCCCCAAAACGUUGUUUUAUACAGGAGGGAGGGGAUUGGGAGUGGCUGCUAGAAACUGAAACUCCUUUGUCUAAACUGGGAGUUUAAAGUGUAGUGGCUUCUCAUUGGCUGAGCUGUGACAAUCUGUCAUUGGCUGGGCUGUUGCUAGGGGAGAGAAAAACCUUUCUCCCUCCCCCCCAGCCCCACACCCCAAGGGUUAGUAAAGUCGUACCACCUGCACGUACCUUUGUGUUGGGUCUGCAAUUGAGGAAGAGUGGUAGGGUGUGUGAGCUCUCCCGUCUGGCCUCCUCCUUCAUUUCACAGGAGGUUUUCAUUCAUUCAUUCAUUCAUUCAUUCAUUCAUUCAUUCAUUCAUUUAAUUUUAGAGACGGAGAGAGAGAUUCCUAAGCAGGUUCCAUCCCCAGGGCAGAGUCUAAGGCGGGGCCAAAAUCAAGAGUGGGAUGAUGCUUAACCCACUGAGUCACCCAGGUGUCCUGGAGGUUUCCUUUUAUUAACUUAAAAGGGCCUAGGCUGGAGUGCCCCUCUCCCGGUAGCAGGUCCCUAAGUUAUAGCCAAAGUGGCAGGGAAGUUGAUAUGUUGAGAAAUGCCCCGAUCCCUACUUUGCUUAAUUACAUUAAUUUUGUCUGCAGCUAUCGUAUAGGCUUCACUCAGCCAUUUACAGGCCUGUCUGAAGUAGAGAAAAACAUUGCCUAGGGCUCCUUUCUCCAACUGACUUUUGUUCAAGCCAUCUGAUUGAGUCCACAUCUCCCUCUGGAUCCAUUCCUUGGCUCCCCUUUACAGAAAAAUCCCUCAAAAGACUGGCUAUGCCUUUGGGCUUGAAUUUCUCUCCUCAUAUUCUCUCCUGAACCCUCUGCAGUCAGGCUUCUGCCUUGUCUAUUCCACUAACAUAGAUCUUGUCGAUGUCCCCAGUACCCUCCCUGUGGCUAAAUCUUUAAGUCCUUUCUUGGCUCUUAUCUAAAUUGACCUAUCAACAGCAUUCAACAUGUUUGACUCCUUGUCACCUCCUUGGAAAACUUUUUUCCCCUCCUUGACUUGGAGCAUUCCACAUUCUUUGAUUUUUGUUCUCCCUCACCCAUCAUUCCUUUCGGUCGGCUUUGCUAGUUUCUCUUCACAUCCCGUUCCUCUAGAUGUUAGGGUGCCCACGGCCCAGAACUUUUGUUUUCCCUGCAUGUCUACACUCGGUCUCUUGGUUAUCUCCUCCGUUCCAGCACUUAAAUACCAUCUGUCUGUUGACCGUUGCCAAAUGUAUCCCUCCUGUCUGUAUUUCUUCUCUAAACCCCAAGUGCAGCUCCCCAAAUGCCUCAACAUCCUCACUGAAGCAUCUCAAAGACAUCUCAAACGUGACGUGUCCCAACAUGCUCCCUAGAGUUAAGCCCAAGCCUAGGAGUCAGUCUUGAUUCCUUUGCCUCACACCACACAUCGAAUGCAACCGCAAAUCCUAUUGGGUCAAAUUUCAAAACAUCCAGUCCCUUGACUCUUCAGCAUCCGCACCACUACCAUCUGAUCUCGGCAUCCUCUGGGGUCAGAUGACGCCACUCUGUGCUCAACACUCUCCGGUGGCUUCCUAUUUCGGAUAAUUUACAAUUUCCAAGCUCAAAAAGGAUCUUAACCCCUCAGCUCCUAUUACUUCGCUGAUCUCAUCUCCUAUUAUUCACCCCCUGGCUAAUUCCAUGUCAUGUCCCACUGGCCUCUGCUGGUCCUCAAACCUCCAGGGAUGCUCCUGGUCUAGGUCUGUGUGUUUGGCCCACUGUCUAGAAUUUUUUUUUCACCAUCGAUACAUGUCUCUUUCCCCAUCUUCAAGUCUUUGCUCAAAUAUAACCUCUGCAAUAAAGCCUUUCCUAUUUGAUUCGAAGCUGCAGCUCUUUCCACUAUUACCUUGCCCAGCUAUUGCUACCGGAACUUGCUUAGGACACAACCUUACAUAAAGAAGGUGCUUGAUGGGUAUUUGAUGAAAUAAUAAAUCCAUGAUUAUCACA